Molecule: ribosomal RNA, 242 nt
Filed under: uncultured bacterium
Lineage: Bacteria
Description: partial 16S ribosomal RNA
Rfam family: Bacterial small subunit ribosomal RNA
Source: RNAcentral
CCGACCGGCGCACGGUGAGUAACGCGUAUGCAACUUACCUAUCAGAGGGGAUAACCCGGCGAAAGUCGGACUAAUACCGCAUGAAGCAGGGGCCCCGCAUGGGGAUAUUUGCUAAAGAUUCAUCGCUGAUAGAUAGACAUGCGUUCCAUUAGGCAGUUGGCGGGGUAACGGCCCACCAAACCGACGAUGGAUAGGGGUUCUGAGAGGAAGGUCCCCCACAUUGGUACUGAGACACGGACCAA